This 232-nucleotide ribosomal RNA is filed under the name uncultured bacterium. Its description in RNAcentral is "partial 16S ribosomal RNA". It matches the Rfam family "Bacterial small subunit ribosomal RNA", at positions 524 to 750 of the family's 1533-position model. The record is from RNAcentral.
UACGUAGGGUGCAAGCGUUGUCCGGAAUUAUUGGGCGUAAAGAGCUCGUAGGCGGUCUGUCGCGUCUGCUGUGAAAACCGUCGGGGCUUAACCCCGGGCCUGCAGUGGGUACGGGCAGACUAGAGUGCGGUAGGGGAGACGUGGAAUUCCGUGGUGGUAGCGGUGGAAUGCGCAGAUAUCAGGAGGAACACCGAUGGCGAAGGCAGAUCUCUGGGCCGUAACUGACGCUGAG